ACAUACAACCAUAGGGUGUGGAGAACAGGGCUUCCCGUCCGCUCAGCCGUACUUAAGCCACACGCCGGUAAGUUAGUAGUUAGGUGGGUGACCACUAGCGAAUCCUUACUGUUGUAUGUU
RNAcentral lists this ribosomal RNA (120 nucleotides) under Penicillium arizonense. Lineage: Eukaryota; Fungi; Ascomycota; Eurotiomycetes; Eurotiales; Aspergillaceae. The record is from RNAcentral.